UACGGGGGGAGCAAGCGUUGUUCGGAUUUACUGGGCGUAAAGGGCGCGUAGGCGGCGCAACAAGUCACUUGUGAAAUCUCCGGGCUUAACCCGGAGCGGCCAAGUGAUACUGUCGUGCUAGAGUGCGGAAGGGGCUACUGGAAUUCUCGGUGUAGCGGUGAAAUGCGCAGAUAUCAGGAGGAACACCAAUAGCGAAGGCAGCUCGCUGGGACGGUACUGACGCUAAGGCGCGAAAGCGUGGGGAGCGAACAGG
This 253-nucleotide ribosomal RNA is filed under the name uncultured bacterium. RNAcentral describes it as "partial 16S ribosomal RNA". It matches the Rfam family "Bacterial small subunit ribosomal RNA", at positions 524 to 776 of the family's 1533-position model. The record is from RNAcentral.